This 77-nucleotide small RNA is filed under the name Xanthomonas euvesicatoria pv. citrumelonis. RNAcentral describes it as "sX9". It matches the Rfam family "Xanthomonas sRNA sX9". The record is from RNAcentral. RNAcentral also lists the same sequence under 9 other names. Lineage: Bacteria; Pseudomonadati; Pseudomonadota; Gammaproteobacteria; Lysobacterales; Lysobacteraceae.
AUGUACCACUCGUGCACUGCGGUUCUGAGCGCGCCGUCCGCGCCCACCUGACGACUGCUCACUACGUUUUGUUAGCC